This 31-nucleotide non-coding RNA is filed under the name Homo sapiens (human). Lineage: Eukaryota; Metazoa; Chordata; Mammalia; Primates; Hominidae. The record is from RNAcentral.
GAACAGGACAGGACCAGGCUGUCCCCUGGAA